Molecule: non-coding RNA, 313 nt
Organism: Nicotiana tabacum (common tobacco)
Lineage: Eukaryota; Viridiplantae; Streptophyta; Magnoliopsida; Solanales; Solanaceae
Source: RefSeq, a predicted model, not a curated record
CAUCUGAAUGUGCAUUCAGCACGGGAGGUCGCAUUCUUGACUCGUUCAGGAGUUCGUUGACGCCUAAACUGGUGCAAUCUCUUAUUUGUCUUCAAGAUUGGCUUAGAAGUGAACCUAUUCCUAUUAAAGUUGAGGAAGACUUGGAGUAUCUAGAACAACUAGAACUUGAUCUGGCUGAUAGUGCAAAAGAUUCAACUAUUAUUGACAUAUAGUUGCAACAUGUACCAUGUGUGGUUUGAUCAUGGCGCCUAGAUGGAAGUGAUGCUAUAGUAAAUAGACUUCACUUGUUUCAUGCUACUUAAUGUAAUUAUUU